GGGGAUUUAGCUCAGUGGUAAGAGCGCUUGCCUAGGAAGCGCAAGGCCCUGGGUUCGGUCCCCAGCUCCA
This 70-nucleotide transfer RNA is filed under the name Rattus norvegicus (Norway rat). It matches the Rfam family "tRNA". Rfam says of the family: Transfer RNA (tRNA) molecules are approximately 80 nucleotides in length. The record is from Rfam by way of RNAcentral. Lineage: Eukaryota; Metazoa; Chordata; Mammalia; Rodentia; Muridae.